Gossypium hirsutum (cotton) is the source of this 138-nucleotide non-coding RNA. NCBI's taxonomy places the organism in Eukaryota, Viridiplantae, Streptophyta, Magnoliopsida, Malvales, Malvaceae. The record is from Rfam.
UGUUAAAAUUUUUAUCAAUUUUUACCGUUAAAAACUAGUGUGAUUAACGGAAUAAUCAAGUAGUGAUAUAUGACGAGCCAUAUGGCAUGAUAUACAAAAAUUAAUUUGUAAAGGUAGAAAUAAAAUGAAUUUUUAACA